AUGCUUGCUUAGGUAGCGUACAGACUACAAUUACAACAAUACAGAGGAGACUAGCAUGGCCCCAGUGUGAGGAUGUCACACAACUUUGUGAAGUGCUAUUUUUUUUU
This 107-nucleotide small nuclear RNA is filed under the name Neotoma lepida (desert woodrat). Lineage: Eukaryota; Metazoa; Chordata; Mammalia; Rodentia; Cricetidae. The record is from RNAcentral.